GCUUGUCUCAAAGAUUAAGCCAUGCAUGUCUAAGUAUAAGCUUUUAUACGGUGAAACUGCGAAUGGCUCAUUAAAACAGUUAUAGUUUAUUUGAUGGUCACUCACUACUUGGAUAACCGUGGUAAUUCUAGAGCUAAUACAUGCGUCAAGACCCGACUUUUUGGAAGGGUUGUAUUUAUUAGAUGGAAACCAAUGCGGGGCAACCCGGUAUAUGGUGAUUCAUAAUAACUUUCGGAUCGAUCUUCGGAUCGAUGCAUCAUUCAAGUUUCUGCCCUAUCAGCUUUGGAUGGUAGGGUAUUGGCCUACCAUGGCUUUAACGGGUAACGGAGAAUUAGGGUUCGAUUCCGGAGAGGGAGCCUGAGAAAUGGCUACCACAUCCAAGGAAGGCAGCAGG
This 394-nucleotide ribosomal RNA is filed under the name uncultured Chrysophyceae. RNAcentral describes it as "partial small subunit ribosomal RNA". It matches the Rfam family "Eukaryotic small subunit ribosomal RNA", at positions 30 to 432 of the family's 1831-position model. Lineage: Eukaryota; Chrysophyceae. The record is from RNAcentral.